CCCUGCAGUCUGAAAGUGAAGCAUUCCUAUGACUUCCCUAAGCCAAAAUGGUGUAAAGCAAAGAAGCAAUUACCAUUAAUUUAUACAGAAAAAUUUGGAGUAUUUCUGGAUCUCUCUUUUCUGAUUCCUUAGAACACAUCUUGUUAAGGAGUGUACCAGAUAAAUCUAAGUACAGCAUGGAUGCUCACAGAUAGCUCAAAGAGAGGGAAGUCAGAAAUUUGAAGCAUAUGAAGGAUCUGAUGUGCUCUUGCUGGCCUGAAGAUGGAGAAGCAUCUCUGUCAAGGACAUGGAUGACAUCUAGAUGCUGAGAGCCACUCCCAGGCUAUUCACAUGCUAAGAAGGAUUUCCCCAUGCUCCCAGAUCUUCGCUGAAAUAUGGAUUAAAAGACUAAGAGAAACAUCUACCAACUGCAACACAUGAACCUGAUUCAAACAAACUUUAAAAAAAAAAGUUAUGAGAUAAUGGGGAAAUUGGAACCCUGGUUGAAUAGUUUACAGUGUUAAGAAAAAUUAUUGUUAAUUUUCAAAGGUGUGAUAAUGGAUAUAUACGUGCUUGGAUGUAAUCACACAUAAUGAAAGAUUUAUGGAUGAAAUAAUAUAAUGUCUGAGAUAAUGUCUGAAUAAUCACGUGUGGGGCUGGGGGAUUAAGUUCAUAGCAGACACAAGUUUGGUCAUGAGUUGAUGGCUGUUGAAUUUUGGGUAAUGGGCACGUGGAGUUUCAUUAUAUUCAUUCAUUAUGACAAAAUAUUUAUUCUUUUUUAUUUUGUGUAUUUGAAACUUUGCCUUAAAAGAAAAGAAGGCCAUGUUGGUCCCAUUCUGGUUUUGGUG
Long non-coding RNA from Canis lupus familiaris (dog), 827 nucleotides. RefSeq lists it as uncharacterized. The record is from RefSeq and is a predicted model, not a curated record. The transcript is spliced from 3 exons. NCBI's taxonomy places the organism in Eukaryota, Metazoa, Chordata, Mammalia, Carnivora, Canidae.